CUUAUUUACAUGUGGAAACCUCAAGUGGCGUUGUGGCCUCUUUGACCUUGAUGAUGUACAAAUGUACAUACACAAGAGACAGACUGAAACACAAACCUAAAGGAAAAGCUAUUAAAUAAAAUUUUUUAUGAAGAUCAGAGAUAACCAAGAACUUUCCAUGAAAGUGGCUUCCAUAAAAAAAUAAAAAAUAUCAAUUAUGUGAAGUGAGAACUUCUUUUGCACAAAUCCAUUUGUUUCAGCCACAUUUUUUUGUAUGAGAUGGAAGAAGUCCUGGAUUUGGGCUGGCCUGUGCAGAAACCUGUUGCUGUGUGGAGAAUUGUGGAAUGAUUAAGGUUGGAAAAAAACACUAAGAUCAUCUAGUCCAACCACUAACCCAUCCCCACCAUGCCCACUGACCACAUCCCUCAGUGCCACAUCUAUGCGGUUCUGGAACACCUCUAGGGAUGGUGACUCCAUCACCUCCCUGGGCAGCCUGUUCCAAUGCAUCACCACUCUUUCUGAGAAGAAAUGUUUCCUAAUAUCCAACCUGAACCUCUCCUGACACAACCAGGCACACCCACACAUAGGAUAGAAGUCCCUCUGGAUAUUCAACUGUCAGCCCUGUUUCUGUACCUUUCUGAAGAUGACUUCUUAGGAGAAGAUCUUUCCACCAGUGAACUGAACAAGCAAGAUCUGAAAAACCUCAAAUAUUAAUUUAUUUCGGCAUAUGACCAUAAUGAGACAAAACCCCAACGUUAUUUCAAAAUUAAUAUCCUUACAUUUUAUUCACUUUCAUGAUUUUCUCACUGGAGAGCCCAUGAUAUUCGCAUGUACCAGGAACGAAUGCAUACUGAUUCCUGUCAAACAACCUCUGUUACUGCCUAGGUAAGUAACUCUGCCUUCAAAAAAGAACCUUUCCUAUUUGGCAAUGCAUGCACCAGGCAUAUGUAGAGUUUUAGCUUUCAGAUUGCUUAGAUCGAAGUUAUUAAGCCAUUUCCUGAAGGCUUUUUUUUCACUUUUGCUAAGAAGUUGCUAAGGACAACCAGCCUUCAAACAAAAGCCAUCCAAGUGGAUGGCAGAUAAAGAUUUCAUUCAGCAUAGGUAUCCCAGCCCUUCACAGUCAGAUGCACUCUAAAAUGGCCUACGCAGGUCCUUCGCUCCUUUUGAGAGUUUUUCACUAAUUUAUAUACUUAAGAAAGCCAUAUGCACCUUGUAAACAGGGCCUUGUGCACAUGCCUUGAUGAGUG
This 1226-nucleotide long non-coding RNA is filed under the name Numida meleagris (helmeted guineafowl). RNAcentral describes it as "lncRNA (ENSNMEG00000007104.1)". The record is from RNAcentral. Lineage: Eukaryota; Metazoa; Chordata; Aves; Galliformes; Numididae.